Molecule: small RNA, 341 nt
Filed under: Pan troglodytes (chimpanzee)
Lineage: Eukaryota; Metazoa; Chordata; Mammalia; Primates; Hominidae
Description: processed transcript
Source: RNAcentral
GGCGGCCGCGCCCGCUUGCGUCCUCUUGUUCUCUUCCAGGCACCCAAAAAGAAAGGGAAGAAAGGCAAAGCCAAAGGCACCCCGAUUGUCGAUGGGCUCGCUCCAGAGGACAUGAGCAAGGAGCAGCUGUUUAUUUUUAGGUGGAGGAGCAUGUCAGCCGCAUCCGGGAGGAGCUGGACCGUGAGCGGGAGGAACGAAACUACUUCCAGCUGGAGCGGGACAAGAUCCACACCUUCUGGGAGAUCACACGGAGGCAGCUGGAGGAGAAGAAGGCUGAGCUGCGGAACAAAGACCGGGAGAUGGAAGAAGCCGAGGAGAGGCACCAGGUGGAGAUCAAGGUG